This 169-nucleotide ribosomal RNA is filed under the name uncultured Clostridium sp. RNAcentral's name for it is "partial 16S ribosomal RNA". It matches the Rfam family "Bacterial small subunit ribosomal RNA", at positions 338 to 524 of the family's 1533-position model. Lineage: Bacteria; Bacillati; Bacillota; Clostridia; Eubacteriales; Clostridiaceae. The record is from RNAcentral.
CCUACGGGAGGCAGCAGUGGGGAAUAUUGCACAAUGGGCGAAAGCCCGAUGCAGCAACGCCGCGUGAGUGAUGAAGGCCUUCGGGUUGUAAAGCUCUGUCUUCUGGGACGAUAAUGACGGUACCAGAGGAGGAAGCCACGGCUAACUACGUGCCAGCAGCCGCGGUAAU